CCCCCACUCCCCUGAGUUAAACAUUGGUCGCAUCGAGCCGGAUUGAAGCCAUCACUUGCUCUUGCUCCCUCGUUUGCAUGAAGAAAUCAUCGGAUUAUCUCUCAUCAUAUCAUCAACAUACAUAAGACUAAAAAUCAGAUAUUAGUUAACUCUCGGUCUCUGGGCAUAAAUAUUGUAACCAAAACGUUGCCCAAGGCCGGUUUUUGGACACCACGGAUUUUGGCACAAGGUAUACUUCUGGCUGGUGCUGGACGGACAUUUCAAACACAGGACUAACUUUGCUGUCGUUCCAGUAGCCAGGUUACUUGGCUUGGCUUAAACCCUGUCAUGGACACAAUUAUUUCCGCCAAGGAAUUCAACAUAAAUUGGCUGACCUCCUCCAUUCAUAGAAUCGGAGGGGUCAGAGAUGGUUUUAACGGAUGGUGUAAAUGUUGGCGUUGCUUUAACUUGUUCGCACAACCGUAUUCACACACAACAAUAAAACACAAAUGUUAAUUAAACACAAAAACAAAAUUUAAUUAAUUUUUUUUUGGGAGAUUUUCUUCAAAUAUCUUAUAUAGCAAAAUAAAAAAUAUCUCCUUUGCUGAACGCCAAACAAACUGCCUCGAUUUUCCCCCGUUAUGCCUUUUAUAUGGCCGCAGCCAUUUACAAUUUUCCGGGAUUCUCGCGCAAUUUUCCUGAUUCAUCAAAUUACCUUUGUCGUGCCUACUGAGCCCUACAUUGGAGUUGUAUUUCUCGGGUUUAUAUUUUCCACCGGUUGGCAACACUGAUUUCUUCAACCUCUGCAACGAGCUUAACAUAUCCGGUUCACUUUUCCCUGACCGGCAGAAAGCAAACACAUCAUGUCGGGGACUUGCUGCUAAUUAUUUUUUUUUUUUUUUAAUAAAAAAUCACAUGCAACAAAUCCAGUGAAAACGACGGAUAUGGUGAUGUGCAUGUUUUUUCUUUUAACAAUGACUGCGAGGCUUAUAUAAAUUAUCGGGCGAGCCGUUUUGGAGAUCUGGGUGACCACGAGGAAUGUACAAACAAAAAAAUUAAAACAGGCAUGGAACAGAAUACGCAGAAAAACCAUAAGCAAGAUUUUACAAAUAAAAUGUCAUGUGAGUGUGUGUGUAAUCUCAAAAGUGGCGUGGGUUCCACAAAUCUAUUGUUCGUGCAAGUGGUGUGAGUAAUACACCUAUGUGUGAGAGUGUGUUACAACACUCAUUCACUCACACAAUGCAACUGAGUAAAUUCAUGUCGUGUCAUUUCUUUGAAUGGAUUGAAUACACACCACUCAUUGCGGCACUUCACGCAUCACCAAUGUAUUGCACAUUUUCCCAUAACUAACGGAACUCACACAGAAUUCACAGCGUCUUGGAAGUAAGGAAUUCUUUAAAAACACCGUUUACCUAAAAAAAACGCACUUGCGCUUCAGGUAGUGUUGUACCUUUAUUGAUUUCAUCUGCACCUGGCGACGAAAUAUGGGUAACACCAUACAUGGUUAAAAUGUCAGCCCGAACACCUUUCGUUGCAGAGACAAAUGUUUUAGCCACAUAUACAGGCAAUAAAUUUUUAACUUUGUUGAUGUGGGAAAUAAUCAUAAAAAUGUUUCACCGAACCAGACAAGUCACUGUGUGCAAUCUGCACAUCCGUGGUUUUGCUACUUGAGCAAAAAAAAGGAUUCAUAAAUAUUUUCGCAGCACAAUUACAACCCAUAAUUUGUAGAUAUUAGUAAACACUCGGUCUCUGGGCAUAAAUAUUGUAACCAAAGCGUUGCUCAAGGCCGGUUUUUGGACACCACGGAUUUUGGCACAAGAGAUACUUCUGGCUGGUGCUGGACGGACAUUUCAAACACAGGACUAACUUUGCUGUCGUUCCAGUACCAGGUUACUUGGCUUGGCUUAAGCCCUGUCAUGGACACAAUUAUUUCCGCCAAGGAAUUCAACAUUAAUUGGCUGACCUCCUCCGUUCAUAGAAUCGGAGGGGUCAGAGAUGGUUCUAACGGUUGGUGUAAAUGUUGGCGUUGCUUUAACUUGUUCGCACAACCGCAUUCACACACAACAAUAAAACACAAAUGUUAAUUAAACACAAAAACAAAAUUUAA
Long non-coding RNA from Musca domestica (house fly), 2086 nucleotides. RefSeq lists it as uncharacterized. The record is from RefSeq and is a predicted model, not a curated record. The transcript is spliced from 7 exons. Lineage: Eukaryota; Metazoa; Arthropoda; Insecta; Diptera; Muscidae.